UUCGUUGCAUUCCUCCUCAGUCAUCGGCGCAAGCGCAUCAGCCUUGGCCGCCUUCGGGUUUCCUGUAUUGCGUACCUAYCGGAAGGAAUUCGGAYGUCCCAACGCUAGACGUUCUCCCAGCGCUGCCCCCCCAUUGGAGGGGCGCGGCGUGGGGUGAACCGYGAAGGCGAGUUCGUGCUYCGAGCCGCAGCCGUCCAGGCAACGCGUCCCGGCACACGAACCACCGCCUGAGCUCUCGGAUGCGGAAUGCCGCGAGGGCUGGAGGCGCCCGUCCUCCGUUUGCCCGAACUCGGCGUCGAACGCCGGCAUCGAACGACCGYCGUCGUCGCCUCGAGACGUCACGUCCCUCGGGUCCGUCGGCCUC
This 364-nucleotide unclassified non-coding RNA is filed under the name Burchellia bubalina. RNAcentral's name for it is "partial external transcribed spacer". Lineage: Eukaryota; Viridiplantae; Streptophyta; Magnoliopsida; Gentianales; Rubiaceae. The record is from RNAcentral.